UCAGGGAUUGAGCGAGUAAACUACAUCUAACAAAGAAGCGAGAUUUUUUGUUGAGAUCUUUUUUGUUUUGUGUUUACCAAGUGGACAACAAAGGAGUUUUAUAGCAUAUAGAAUAUGCACUCUCCACAAGCCAAAUCACGGUAAUAAACUGCAGUUUUUACAAUAAACUAAUGCAGUGCACUUUUUAACAACAACAAAAUUGAGUAACAGGGCAUCCAAUAGAACUACAUCACUUCAUCCUUUGGGACCGCACGCGCAAGCCUGUGCGCCGUUGAACUCCACAAAUGCUUGUGAGCUGCACCCAAACCAGCAAAGAGCUGCAUGCAUUAACAUGGUCAAACUGAAACAUACAGCAAUAUGACUACAAAAAAAAGACAUAACAAGAUGAACUACUUAAAAAAAGUAUGACACCGGCCACCCCUAGUGCAGUGCACUUGUCCUCUGCUUCCCGCGAACAACAAGGAGUGGAGGAGGGAGCUACAAGUGAGGUUCGUCGCCCAGACGCCUGGCAAGCUGCACGGCACAAUCACCUGCACUGCAUGCCACGCUCGUCCACACUGCAUGUAGUGCUCGCCGAAAAGGGGUAACCCAUCAGUUGCUAGGACGGUAGGACCUGCAAGCACACACGCCGGCACCCGACAAACUGCAUGCCCUCUAGGGAGGGUGGAGAGGAGCAGGAAACAGGAUCCAUGCACGCAGCAGUGAGGCACCCACAAAACUACAGGAGAUUGGCUACCUGUCAACAGCGAGCAAAACAGUUAAACACCUUUGAUCCCCAAUACAUGCAGAAUUCACCACCAUGAGAACCAAAUUCAACAAGAAAGACGAACACGAGAUGCAAGAUGACCAAGAACCUACUCGAUUUUGCAGAAGAGAGGUGCUCGAGGGGGAUGCAGGAUCUCGCCAGAGGAAGGACGACAAGACACCGAACGACAAACACGCACGCCUACGAGCUGCAUGUCAUGCUUGCCCAGACAGCAAGCUGCUAUCGCCAGAACCUCGGCCCAAAUGGACCUCCUUCAUACCUGUCAGUCAUCUUUUCUACAUCAUCUAUCUUUUCUGCAAAAAAAGAGUAAAAUGAACCUCAAGAGCAAACAAUAGCGGACUACUCUGCACUUUUGACCUUUUUCUUAAAAAAAGCAACAAAGACAGUAGACUGCAGGUGCACACGGCAAAUCUCAUCCCCGCGGGGAUGCGCCAUGGAAGGAGAGCACCUUCAAUCCCCCACUCCUCGUCAGUAAGUCAAUGCAGUGCAGUAAAGAGACCUAGUGGCACGAGCGGGUGAGCAGGAGCAAGAGGGUGGGCCAGUGCAGCAGGUCACGACAUUGGGAGGUCACGCGGGUCGUGACGAACUGAGCAGGAAGUCAAGGAGCGUUGAGCUCAACUUCACGGCCUACACGGCUGCGGUCGCCGGACUGCACGGCUGUGGCCGUCGGACAAUAGGGAAGGCUGCAAAGCAAUGCACCCAGGCAGAGGGGGGUGAGGUCGGCCCUGACCUGCGGGACGACUCCGUCGACCUAGCUGGGAUGCGCCACACCAGCCGCUCCACGCAUUUGAGGCUGCCGCCAUGGGGACGAGGUGCCCGUAUGCUCACGCCGUAUAGGGAGGUCGAGGGAGCCUAGCCUACGGCUCCACCGGAUCCGGUG
Molecule: long non-coding RNA, 1646 nt
Filed under: Triticum aestivum (bread wheat)
Lineage: Eukaryota; Viridiplantae; Streptophyta; Magnoliopsida; Poales; Poaceae
Description: long non-coding RNA (TAES_LNC016445)
Source: RNAcentral